Molecule: long non-coding RNA, 596 nt
Filed under: Sus scrofa (pig)
Lineage: Eukaryota; Metazoa; Chordata; Mammalia; Artiodactyla; Suidae
Description: lncRNA (ENSSSCG00070010164.1)
Source: RNAcentral
GAGUAAGUAGCCUGUGAGCACUUACUUCCUGGAUCAUUUCCUGAUCCCCCACACCUCUGUCCCCCUCCCUCUUUGGUGGCAUUUCGUUCAGACUGCUCAUCCAUAUUCCCCUCAUCUCCUGGCUCAGUUCCACCCCGGCUUAAGUCUAAGGGUUGCCUUCCUAGGGGACGGCCUGGCCUGCAGGAACGGAACGCCUGGACUUACACUGCGUUCGUGGCAAAGUAUCCGCGCCCUUGUCUCAGUAUUGAAGGAACUGGCCUGGACUGAUGGGAGGGCCAAAAAGGUCAGAGGAGGUGCAGUAUGAUGAAGGAGAAGAGGAACAGACCUUCAUGGGUGCCCGUCAGCUGUCUGCCAGCCCAGCUUGGCCCCGGAGAGUCCCAGUGAGGAGCCCCUGCUGGUGUGCCAGACCUCUGGGGGGCUGUCCGCCCGACUGCUCCAGACUCCGGCAGCGGGGCCUCCGAUGGCAGUGGGCACCUCCCCGUGAAACCUGCCAAGCUGGACGCCACAGCUCUGCACGACGACGCUUUGGCCAACUCUGUGCCCCCUUCGGAGGCGUGCAACCAUGCAGUCCUAGCCUGCAGCCCGGGCAUCCCUGA